UACGAAGGGGGCUAACGUUGCUCGGAAUCACUGGGCGUAAAGCGCACGUAGGCGGAUUGUUAAGUCAGGGGUGAAAUCCUGGAGCUCAACUCCAGAACUGCCUUUGGUACUGGCGAUCUCGAGUCCGGGAGAGGUGAGUGGAACUGCGAGUGUAGAGGUGAAAUUCGUAGAUAUUCGCAAGAACACCAGUGGCGAAGGCGGCUCACUGGCCCGGUACUGACGCUGAGGUGCGAAAGCGUGGGGAGCAAACAGG
This 253-nucleotide ribosomal RNA is filed under the name uncultured bacterium. RNAcentral's name for it is "partial 16S ribosomal RNA". It matches the Rfam family "Bacterial small subunit ribosomal RNA", at positions 524 to 776 of the family's 1533-position model. The record is from RNAcentral.